GUGUUUAUAGUAUAUUCAAUACUUUAGCUUUUCGUGCUAAAAAUAUGAUAGCAUUUCAUUAAACACC
This 67-nucleotide transfer RNA is filed under the name Terebellides stroemii. Its description in RNAcentral is "tRNA-Glu". Lineage: Eukaryota; Metazoa; Annelida; Polychaeta; Terebellida; Trichobranchidae. The record is from RNAcentral.